This 360-nucleotide ribosomal RNA is filed under the name uncultured bacterium. RNAcentral's name for it is "bacterial SSU rRNA". It matches the Rfam family "Bacterial small subunit ribosomal RNA", at positions 88 to 483 of the family's 1533-position model. The record is from RNAcentral.
AUUGUUAGUGGCAGACGGGUGAGUAAUGCGUAGGAAUCUGCCUAGUAGUAUGGAAUAGCCAUUAGAAAUGAUGGGUAAUACUGUAUAAUCCCUGCGGGGGAAAGAUUUAUCGCUAUUAGAUGAGCCUACGUUAGAUUAGCUAGUUGGUAAGGUAAUGGCUUACCAAGGCUAUGAUCUAUAGCUGGUCUGAGAGGACGAUCAGCCACACUGGAACUGAGAUACGGUCCAGACUCCUACGGGAGGCAGCAGUGGGGAAUAUUGGACAAUGGGCUAAAGCCUGAUCCAGCUAUGCCGCGUGAGUGAAGAAGGCCUUAGGGUUGUAAAACUCUUUCAAUAGGGAAGAUAAUGACGGUACCUAUA